GAUGAAGAACGCAGCGAAAUGCGAUAAGUAAUGUGAAUUGCAGAAUUCAGUGAAUCAUCGAAUCUUUGAACGCACAUUGCGCCCUUUGGUACUCCAAAGGGCAUGCCUGUUCGAGCGUCAUUUGUACCCUCAAGCUUUGCUUGGUGUUGGGCGUCUUGUCUCCAGUCCGCUGGAGACUCGCCUUAAAGUCAUUGGCAGCCGGCCUACUGGUUUCGGAGCGCAGCACAAGUCGCACUCUUUUCCAGCCAAGGUCAGUGUCCAACAAGCCUUUUUUCAACUUUUGACCUCGGAUCAGGUAGGGAUACCCGCUGAACUUAAGCAUAUCAAUAAGCGGAGGA
This 338-nucleotide unclassified non-coding RNA is filed under the name soil metagenome. Its description in RNAcentral is "partial contains 5.8S ribosomal RNA, internal transcribed spacer 2, and large subunit ribosomal RNA". The stretch from base 1 to 120 matches the Rfam family "5.8S ribosomal RNA", at positions 35 to 154 of the family's 154-position model. The record is from RNAcentral.